GGGUAGUUAGCUCAGUUGGUAGAGCAGUUGACUCUUAAUCAACGGGUCGUGGGUUCGAGUCCCACACCACCCA
This 73-nucleotide transfer RNA is filed under the name Candidatus Sericytochromatia bacterium. RNAcentral's name for it is "tRNA-Lys". It matches the Rfam family "tRNA". Rfam says of the family: Transfer RNA (tRNA) molecules are approximately 80 nucleotides in length. Their secondary structure includes four short double-helical elements and three loops (D, anti-codon, and T loops). Lineage: Bacteria; Bacillati; Candidatus Sericytochromatia. The record is from RNAcentral.